CCUACGGGAGGCAGCGGUAGGGAAUCUUGCGCAAUGGGCGAAAGCCUGACGCAGCCAUGCCGCGUGAAUGAUGAAGGUCUUAGGAUUGUAAAAUUCUUUCACCGGGGACGAUAAUGACGGUACCCGGAGAAGAAGCCCCGGCUAACUUCGUGCCAGCAGCCGCGGUAAUACGAAGGGGGCUAGCGUUGCUCGGAAUUACUGGGCGUAAAGGGAGCGUAGGCGGAUAGUUUAGUCAGAGGUGAAAGCCCAGGGCUCAACCUUGGAAUUGCCUUUGAUACUGGCUAUCUUGAGUAUGGAAGAGGUAUGUGGAACUCCGAGUGUAGAGGUGAAAUUCGUAGAUAUUCGGAAGAACACCAGUGGCGAAGGCGACAUACUGGUCCAUUACUGACGCUGAGGCUCGAAAGCGUGGGGAGCAAACAGGAUUAGAUACCCCGGUAGUCCACGCCGUAAACGAUGAGUGCUAGUUGUCGGCAUGCAUGCAUGUCGGUGACGCAGCUAACGCAUUAAGCACUCCGCCUGGGGGAGGUACGGUCGCAGAUAAACUACAANAGAUAGAGCGNGAGACGUGCCGACGGACGACGACGAGGGAGGAGG
This 594-nucleotide ribosomal RNA is filed under the name uncultured bacterium. Its description in RNAcentral is "bacterial SSU rRNA". It matches the Rfam family "Bacterial small subunit ribosomal RNA", at positions 338 to 1533 of the family's 1533-position model. The record is from RNAcentral.